ACGCUGGCGGCAGGCCUAACACAUGCAAGUCGAGCGGUAGCACGGGAGAGCUUGCUCUCUGGGUGACGAGCGGCGGACGGGUGAGUAAUGUCUGGGAAACUGCCUGAUGGAGGGGGAUAACUACUGGAAACGGUAGCUAAUACCGCAUGACCUCGCAAGAGCAAAGUGGGGGACCUUCGGGCCUCACGCCAUCGGAUGUGCCCAGAUGGGAUUAGCUAGUAGGUGGGGUAAUGGCUCACCUAGGCGACGAUCCCUAGCUGGUCUGAGAGGAUGACCAGCCACACUGGAACUGAGACACGGUCCAGACUCCUACGGGAGGCAGCAGUGGGGAAUAUUGCACAAUGGGCGCAAGCCUGAUGCAGCCAUGCCGCGUGUGUGAAGAAGGCCUUAGGGUUGUAAAGCACUUUCAGCGAGGAGGAAGGCGUUGUAGUUAAUAGCUGCAACGAUUGACGUUACUCGCAGAAGAAGCACCGGCUAACUCCGUGCCAGCAGCCGCGGUAAUACGGAGGGUGCAAGCGUUAAUCGGAAUUACUGGGCGUAAGGCGCACGCAGGCGGUUUGUUAAGUCAGAUGUGAAAUCCCCGAGCUUAACUUGGGAACUGCAUUUGAAACUGGCAGCUAGAGU
This 624-nucleotide ribosomal RNA is filed under the name uncultured bacterium. RNAcentral describes it as "bacterial SSU rRNA". It matches the Rfam family "Bacterial small subunit ribosomal RNA", at positions 33 to 647 of the family's 1533-position model. The record is from RNAcentral.